GACGAACGCUGGCGGCGUGCUUAACACAUGCAAGUCGAACGGAAAGGCCCUGCUUUUGUGGGGUGCUCGAGUGGCGAACGGGUGAGUAACACGUGUGUAACCCGCCCUUGACUUUGGGAUAACUUUAGGAAACUGGGGCUAAUACCGGAUAGGAGCUCUUGCUGCAUGGUGGGGGUUGGAAAGUUUCGGCGGUUGGGGAUGGACUCGCGGCUUAUCAGCUUGUUGGUGGGGUAGUGGCUUACCAAGGCUUUGACGGGUAGCCGGCCUGGGAGGGUAACCGGCGACAUUAGGCCUGCGAUACGCCCCAGUAGCCAACGGGAGGCAGCAGUGGAGAAUAUUGCAGAGCGACCGGGAGCGAGAGAUGAAAACGUCGCGUUCGGGAUGCCGGCCUACGGGUUGUGAACAGAUUUCGCCUGAGCCGAAGCGUGAGUGACGGUACUGGGUAAAGAAGCACCGGCUAACUACGUG
RNAcentral lists this ribosomal RNA (468 nucleotides) under uncultured bacterium. RNAcentral's name for it is "partial 16S ribosomal RNA". It matches the Rfam family "Bacterial small subunit ribosomal RNA", at positions 28 to 507 of the family's 1533-position model. The record is from RNAcentral.